UUCUAAAGUUCACAUGCAUUAGAGACGAGU
RNAcentral lists this non-coding RNA (30 nucleotides) under Rattus norvegicus (Norway rat). The record is from RNAcentral. Lineage: Eukaryota; Metazoa; Chordata; Mammalia; Rodentia; Muridae.